UACGUAGGGUGCGAGCGUUGUCCGGAAUUAUUGGGCGUAAAGGGCUCGUAGGCGGUUUGUCGCGUCGGGAGUGAAAACGCCGUGCUUAACACGGCGCUUGCUUUCGAUACGGGCAGACUAGAGGUAUGCAGGGGAGAACGGAAUUCCGGGUGUAGCGGUGGAAUGCGUAGAGAUCCGGAAGAACACCGGUGGCGAAGGCGGUCGACUGGGCCAGUACUGACGCUGAGGCGCGACAGCGUGGGGAGCAAACAGG
Molecule: ribosomal RNA, 253 nt
Filed under: uncultured bacterium
Lineage: Bacteria
Description: partial 16S ribosomal RNA
Rfam family: Bacterial small subunit ribosomal RNA
Source: RNAcentral